This is a long non-coding RNA of Cynoglossus semilaevis (tongue sole), 167 nucleotides long. RefSeq lists it as uncharacterized. The record is from RefSeq and is a predicted model, not a curated record. NCBI's taxonomy places the organism in Eukaryota, Metazoa, Chordata, Actinopteri, Pleuronectiformes, Cynoglossidae. The transcript is spliced from 2 exons.
CUUACUAAGGAGCAUCUGAGAUUUGUUCUGGUUUGGUUAAUAUUGUUGAGAUGGGUGGACACAGUAUGGAAAUUCUUCAAAUGAGGUCACAGAGUUAAAGUUUUUCUUUAAAAAAAUAUGUUGACAUGUAGGCGACUUGCCAACCAAAUAUUUAAAAAAUAAAUAAA